This 965-nucleotide ribosomal RNA is filed under the name Salmonella enterica. Its description in RNAcentral is "partial 23S ribosomal RNA". It matches the Rfam family "Bacterial large subunit ribosomal RNA", at positions 711 to 1590 of the family's 2925-position model. The record is from RNAcentral. RNAcentral also lists the same sequence under 2 other names. Lineage: Bacteria; Pseudomonadati; Pseudomonadota; Gammaproteobacteria; Enterobacterales; Enterobacteriaceae.
AGACCCGAAACCCGGUGAUCUAGCCAUGGGCAGGUUGAAGGUUGGGUAACACUAACUGGAGGACCGAACCGACUAAUGUUGAAAAAUUAGCGGAUGACCUGUGGCUGGGGGUGAAAGGCCAAUCAAACCGGGAGAUAGCUGGUUCUCCCCGAAAGCUAUUUAGGUAGCGCCUCGUGAAUUCAUCUCCGGGGGUAGAGCACUGUUUCGGCUAGGGGGCCAUCCCGGCUUACCAACCCGAUGCAAACUGCGAAUACCGGAGAAUGUUAUCACGGGAGACACACGGCGGGUGCUAACGUCCGUCGUGAAGAGGGAAACAACCCAGACCGCCAGCUAAGGUCCCAAAGUCAUGGUUAAGUGGGAAACGAUGUGGGAAGGCCCAGACAGCCAGGAUGUUGGCUUAGAAGCAGCCAUCAUUUAAAGAAAGCGUAAUAGCUCACUGGUCGAGUCGGCCUGCGCGGAAGAUGUAACGGGGCUAAACCAUGCACCGAAGCUGCGGCAGCGAACGUAUCACCCAAGACAACUUUACGGAGUUGACGAUUGACGGAGCGAAGCGACGUCAAAGCGUUCAUUAAAGUCGAGUUGGCUUAGGGAUACGUUCGUUGGGUAGGGGAGCGUUCUGUAAGCCUGUGAAGGUGUGUCGUGAGGCAUGCUGGAGGUAUCAGAAGUGCGAAUGCUGACAUAAGUAACGAUAAAGCGGGUGAAAAGCCCGCUCGCCGGAAGACCAAGGGUUCCUGUCCAACGUUAAUCGGGGCAGGGUGAGUCGACCCCUAAGGCGAGGCCGAAAGGCGUAGUCGAUGGGAAACGGGUUAAUAUUCCCGUACUUGGUGUUACUGCGAAGGGGGGACGGAGAAGGCUAUGUUGGCCGGGCGACGGUUGUCCCGGUUUAAGCGUGUAGGUGUGUGUUCCAGGUAAAUCCGGUUCACUUUAACACUGAGGCGUGAUGACGAGGCACUACGGUGCUGAAG